AUGCAGUCGGACGGGAUUCAGAUUAGUAGCCUUGCUAUAAUUUCAUGAGAGUGGCGCACGGGUGCGUAACGCGUGAGCAACCUACCCAUAUCAGGGGGAUAGCCUCUCGAAAGAGAGAUUAACACCGCAUAACAUCAUUUACCGGCAUCGGUUGAUGAUCAAAUAUUUAUAGGAUAUGGAUGGGCUCGCGUGACAUUAGCUAGUUGGAGGGGUAACGGCCCACCAAGGCUACGAUGUCUAGGGGCUCUGAGAGGAGAAUCCCCCACACUGGUACUGAGACACGGACCAGACUCCUACGGGAGGCAGCAGUAAGGAAUAUUGGUCAAUGGAGGGAACUCUGAACCAGCCAUGCCGCGUGCAGGAUGACUGCCCUAUGGGUUGUAAACUGCUUUUGUCAGGGAAUAAACCUUUCCACGUGUGGGAAGCUGAAUGUACCUGAAGAAUAAGGAUCGGCUAACUCCGUGCCAGCAGCCGCGGUAAUACGGAGGAUCCAAGCGUUAUCCGGAUUUAUUGGGUUUAAAGGGUGCGUAGGCGGUCCUAUAAGUCAGUGGUGAAAGACGGCAGCUUAACUGUCGCAGUGCCUUUGAUACUGUAGGACUUGAAUCUAUUUGAAGUGGGCGGAAUAAGACAAGUAGCGGUGAAAUGCAUAGAUAUGUCUUAGAACUCCGAUUGCGAAGGCAGCUCACUAAGU
RNAcentral lists this ribosomal RNA (691 nucleotides) under Sphingobacterium sp. Y4_136_5. RNAcentral's name for it is "bacterial SSU rRNA". It matches the Rfam family "Bacterial small subunit ribosomal RNA", at positions 55 to 734 of the family's 1533-position model. The record is from RNAcentral. Lineage: Bacteria; Pseudomonadati; Bacteroidota; Sphingobacteriia; Sphingobacteriales; Sphingobacteriaceae.